This 72-nucleotide transfer RNA is filed under the name Camelus dromedarius (Arabian camel). It matches the Rfam family "tRNA". From Rfam's summary of the family: Transfer RNA (tRNA) molecules are approximately 80 nucleotides in length. Their secondary structure includes four short double-helical elements and three loops (D, anti-codon, and T loops). Lineage: Eukaryota; Metazoa; Chordata; Mammalia; Artiodactyla; Camelidae. The record is from Rfam by way of RNAcentral. RNAcentral also lists the same sequence under 1 other name.
GGUGGUAUAGCUCAAUGGUAGAGUGAGUGCUUAGCAUGCAUGAGUUCCUGGGUUCAAUCCCCAGGACCUCCA